GGUCGAAUGGGGAAAUUCAUUCGCGUUUCGACAUCGGGGUAGAACAUUUUUGCGACGGAUAGUGGCUCUUGUUUUGCUGCUGCGCUUAUCGUUUGUCUUGCCGUUGUCGAACGCGUGCACUUUUCCUCUAGUAGGACGUCGCGAUCCGUUGGGUGUUUGUCUAAAAAUCGGAGCGGUGCCCACGAGACAUUUAAACGUCACGUGGACCUUCGAAUUUUCGACAAACUCGCUCGACGGUAUAUUAAAGGCGCGAGGCCGCUAUUGUUGUGCGUGCGAAAUAUCGCGUACAACAGAAUUAGCGUUCGGCCCGUAGCAAGCACGUACCGUUUGAUGGCGAUCGGACCUAGCGCCGAUUCUAUCACGGGACGACUGUUGGUUACGGUGUUCUCGAACAGACCUCG
Molecule: ribosomal RNA, 401 nt
Filed under: Oedionychus cinctus
Lineage: Eukaryota; Metazoa; Arthropoda; Insecta; Coleoptera; Chrysomelidae
Description: eukaryotic LSU rRNA
Source: RNAcentral